RNAcentral lists this ribosomal RNA (2892 nucleotides) under Campylobacter coli. RNAcentral's name for it is "partial 23S ribosomal RNA". It matches the Rfam family "Bacterial large subunit ribosomal RNA". The record is from RNAcentral. Lineage: Bacteria; Pseudomonadati; Campylobacterota; Epsilonproteobacteria; Campylobacterales; Campylobacteraceae.
GCGAAUGGUGGAUGCCUUGACUGGUAAAGGCGAUGAAGGACGUACUAGACUGCGAUAAGCUACGGGGAGCUGUCAAGAAGCUUUGAUCCGUAGAUUUCCGAAUGGGGCAACCCAAUGUAUAGAGAUAUACAUUACCUAUAUAGGAGCGAACGAGGGGAAUUGAAACAUCUUAGUACCCUCAGGAAAAGAAAUCAAUAGAGAUUGCGUCAGUAGCGGCGAGCGAAAGCGCAAGAGGGCAAACCCAGUGCUUGCACUGGGGGUUGUAGGACUGCAAUGUGCAAGAGGUGAGUUUAGCAGAACAUUCUGGAAAGUAUAGCCAUAGAGGGUGAUAGUCCCGUAUGCGAAAAACAAACCUUAGCUAGCAGUAUCCUGAGUAGGGCGGGACACGAGAAAUCCUGUCUGAAGCCGGGUCGACCACGAUCCAACCCUAAAUACUAAUACCAGAUCGAUAGUGCACAAGUACCGUGAGGGAAAGGUGAAAAGAACUGAGGUGAUCAGAGUGAAAUAGAACCUGAAACCAUUUGCUUACAAUCAUUCAGAGCACUAUGUAGCAAUACAGUGUGAUGGACUGCCUUUUGCAUAAUGAGCCUGCGAGUUGUGGUGUCUGGCAAGGUUAAGCAAACGCGAAGCCGUAGCGAAAGCGAGUCUGAAUAGGGCGCUUAGUCAGAUGCUGCAGACCCGAAACGAAGUGAUCUAUCCAUGAGCAAGUUGAAGCUAGUGUAAGAACUAGUGGAGGACUGAACCCAUAGGCGUUGAAAAGCCCCGGGAUGACUUGUGGAUAGGGGUGAAAGGCCAAUCAAACUUCGUGAUAGCUGGUUCUCUCCGAAAUAUAUUUAGGUAUAGCGUUGUGUCGUAAUAUAAGGGGGUAGAGCACUGAAUGGGCUAGGGCAUACACCAAUGUACCAAACCCUAUCAAACUCCGAAUACCUUAUAUGUAAUCACAGCAGUCAGGCGGCGAGUGAUAAAAUCCGUCGUCAAGAGGGAAACAACCCAGACUACCAGCUAAGGUCCCUAAAUCUUACUUAAGUGGAAAACGAUGUGAAGUUACUUAAACAACCAGGAGGUUGGCUUAGAAGCAGCCAUCCUUUAAAGAAAGCGUAAUAGCUCACUGGUCUAGUGAUUUUGCGCGGAAAAUAUAACGGGGCUAAAGUAAGUACCGAAGCUGUAGACUUGACUUUGUCAAGUGGUAGGAGAGCGUUCUAUUUGCGUCGAAGGUAUACCGGUAAGGAGUGCUGGAGCGAAUAGAAGUGAGCAUGCAGGCAUGAGUAGCGAUAAUUAAUGUGAGAAUCAUUAACGCCGUAAACCCAAGGUUUCCUACGCGAUGCUCGUCAUCGUAGGGUUAGUCGGGUCCUAAGUCGAGUCCGAAAGGGGUAGACGAUGGCAAAUUGGUUAAUAUUCCAAUACCAACAUUAGUGUGCGAUGGAAGGACGCUUAGGGCUAAGGGGGCUAGCGGAUGGAAGUGCUAGUCUAAGGUCGUAGGUGCUUAUACAGGCAAAUCCGUAUAAGAAUACACCGAGAACUGAAAGGCUUUUUGAAGUCUUCGGAUGGAUAGAAGAACCCCUGAUGCCGUCGAGCCAAGAAAAGUUUCUAAGUUUAGCUAAUGUUGCCCGUACCGUAAACCGACACAGGUGGGUGGGAUGAGUAUUCUAAGGCGCGUGGAAGAACUCUCUUUAAGGAACUCUGCAAAAUAGCACCGUAUCUUCGGUAUAAGGUGUGGUUCGCUUCGUAUUAGGAUUUACUCCGAAAGCGAAGAAACUUACAACAAAGAGUCCCUCCCGACUGUUUACCAAAAACACAGCACUCUGCUAACUCGUAAGAGGAUGUAUAGGGUGUGACGCCUGCCCGGUGCUCGAAGGUUAAUUGAUGGGGUUAGCAUUAGCGAAGCUCUUGAUCGAAGCCCGAGUAAACGGCGGCCGUAACUAUAACGGUCCUAAGGUAGCGAAAUUCCUUGUCGGUUAAAUACCGACCUGCAUGAAUGGCGUAACGAGAUGGGAGCUGUCUCAAAGAGGGAUCCAGUGAAAUUGUAGUGGAGGUGAAAAUUCCUCCUACCCGCGGCAAGACGGAAAGACCCCGUGGACCUUUACUACAGCUUGACACUGCUACUUGGAUAAGAAUGUGCAGGAUAGGUGGGAGGCUUUGAGUAUAUGACGCCAGUUGUAUAUGAGCCAUUGUUGAGAUACCACUCUUUCUUAUUUGGGUAGCUAACCAGCUUGAGUUAUCCUCAAGUGGGACAAUGUCUGGUGGGUAGUUUGACUGGGGCGGUCGCCUCCCAAAUAAUAACGGAGGCUUACAAAGGUUGGCUCAGAACGGUUGGAAAUCGUUCGUAGAGUAUAAAGGUAUAAGCCAGCUUAACUGCAAGACAUACAAGUCAAGCAGAGACGAAAGUCGGUCUUAGUGAUCCGGUGGUUCUGUGUGGAAGGGCCAUCGCUCAAAGGAUAAAAGGUACCCCGGGGAUAACAGGCUGAUCUCCCCCAAGAGCUCACAUCGACGGGGAGGUUUGGCACCUCGAUGUCGGCUCAUCGCAUCCUGGGGCUGGAGCAGGUCCCAAGGGUAUGGCUGUUCGCCAUUUAAAGCGGUACGCGAGCUGGGUUCAGAACGUCGUGAGACAGUUCGGUCCCUAUCUGCCGUGGGCGUAAGAAGAUUGAAGAGAUUUGACCCUAGUACGAGAGGACCGGGUUGAACAAACCACUGGUGUAGCUGUUGUUCUGCCAAGAGCAUCGCAGCGUAGCUAAGUUUGGAAAGGAUAAACGCUGAAAGCAUCUAAGCGUGAAGCCAACUCUAAGAUGAAUCUUCUCUAAGCUCUCUAGAAGACUACUAGUUUGAUAGGCUGGGUGUGUAAUGGAUGAAAGUCCUUUAGCUGACCAGUACUAAUAGAGCGUUUGGCUUAUCUUU